UACGAACUGUGCGAACGUUAUUCGGAAUCACUGGGCUUACAGGGUGCGUAGGCGGCUCAACAAGUCAGGUGUGAAAGCCCCCGGCUCAACCGGGGAACUGCGCUUGAAACUGUUAGGCUCGAGUCAGCUAGAGGUACACGGAACUUCCAGUGGAGCGGUGAAAUGUGUUGAUAUUGGAAGGAACACCGGAGGCGAAGGCGGCUUUCUGGUCUGCUCUUGACGCUGAGGCGCGAAAGCUAGGGUAGCAAACGGG
Molecule: ribosomal RNA, 253 nt
Filed under: uncultured bacterium
Lineage: Bacteria
Description: partial 16S ribosomal RNA
Rfam family: Bacterial small subunit ribosomal RNA
Source: RNAcentral